ACCGGUCCGGUUUUCAAAACUAGGAAAGGAGAGGAAAGGAGAAGCCAGCCAAAGCUAACCCUAGCCCAAAAAUCGAAGAGCGGAGAAGAGGAAUGGAAAGGGGCGGCGCACAGGCCGCGUCGUUGUCGACAGCUCUGGGGAGCAUCAUAGCCUUGGUGGAAGAUCCAAUCCAGGAGGGAACAGUGAUUCAGAGCGGCAUGGCGCAAGUGUUCGAAUCUUGGAAGGCUCUACGGAACGGAAUCUUGGGCGACGGUAAACCAUCCGAGGAGAAGAGAAGAAGGAUGGAGGACGGCAGAGCACAAGGGGUCGUAUCGUCGGGGGCCGAACGGAGCAGAAGAACUUCCGGCGACGGCUUCACCGAUGCCGAGCUCCUUGACGACUGCAAGCAUCGUGAUGGAUCCAUCUACAGACGCACCGAUUAUUUCGGUAGACGUUAUCGUCUCCAUGAUAUCAGCGGGACUUGUUUGGAGCCAAUGAUCUUGUCGCAGCCAUUCACCUCUUGCCAGCCGAACUGGAAGGAUUGCAAAACACAUUCCUCUUUCCCCAUGCUGCAGGCUGUGGGGCUUCAAUUAAUGAAAACAGAGAAGUAAUGUACUCCUAACUGAUUACUGGAAUGUACUUGAAUGCAAUGUUAUCAGCAAUGUUUCGAUGACUUUGUUUUUCCAUUAGGUUUUGCUAUUUGUUUGGUAUUAAGUACUGGCAUGGUUGGUUGGUCUCACUGGGUGCGCUAAUAAGAACCUAACGCAUACUCUCUCCGUUCCUAAAUUGUUGUUGUUGUUGUUGCUGUUGUUGUUGUUUCAGUUCAAAUUUGAUGAACUAAAACCACAACAAGAAUUUAGUGUCGGAGGGAGUAGUUUGCAUUAUUCAGAACAUAUAUGCAUGGACCAUGGGAUAGCCUCUCUGUACUCAGUAACCAUAGCAGCAAAUUAGUAUAUCAAGUAGAAUACUGGCCAUAAUUAAUAAUUGUCCAUUUCAAUUGACAACAUAUUGACACACAACGGCGCGAGGAGCGCUCCUCAAUCAUGGGGGUGUACCUGUUGGCGCCGGCGUACCGGAUGCCGAAAUCCUCCUGCCAAGCAUCGCCAAACAACUCCAGGUAGAUGGCUGUAGGUCUCCUUGUGCUGCGUGUCCUCGAUCUGGGUUCAUCCAUUUGCUUCGCUGCAAACACAAAAAGACGGGUGGGCCAAUA
This is a long non-coding RNA of Brachypodium distachyon (stiff brome), 1189 nucleotides long. RefSeq lists it as uncharacterized. The transcript is spliced from 3 exons. Lineage: Eukaryota; Viridiplantae; Streptophyta; Magnoliopsida; Poales; Poaceae. The record is from RefSeq and is a predicted model, not a curated record.